GUAGUCCACGCCGUAAACGAUGCAUACUAGUCGUAUGGGGUAUCGACCCCCUGUGCGACGAAGCUAACGCGAUAAGUAUGCCGCCUGGGAAGUACGGCCGCAAGGCUAAAACUCAAAGGAAUUGACGGGGACCCGCACAAGCAGAGGAGGAUGUGGUUUAAUAUGACGCUACGCGUAGAACCUUACCGAGGCUUGACAUCUUAGGAAUCCGCUGGAAACAGUGGAGUGCCUUUUGGAGCCUAAUGACAGGUGCUGCAUGGCCGUCGUCAGCUCGUGUCGUGAGAUGUUGGGUUAAGUCCCGCAACGAGCGCAACCCUUAUCGUAUGUUGUAUUUUUCAUGCGAGACUGCCCGGGCCAACCGGGA
Molecule: ribosomal RNA, 364 nt
Filed under: uncultured bacterium
Lineage: Bacteria
Description: bacterial SSU rRNA
Rfam family: Bacterial small subunit ribosomal RNA
Source: RNAcentral